AUUCAAAUAUUUGUUUUCGCCAAAAACAUCUUCGACACGCAUAUCCAUAGAACCGUAAUACAAUAACUAUUAUUUACAUUUUAAAAUAUUUUCUUGAAUAUCGAUAACCCACCAUUUUUAGGAACGAUUUAAAUACUAACCUGUAAUUUAAAGAGCUAUCGAUUUUCGUUACAAAAUGUAAUGUAUGCAUAAGCGCCAACUUGUGAGGCAGUUGGGGGCGAAGCUCUUUAAAAUUGAACCAAAUGCAAUGUUUUUCAAGCAAACGCACUUCUGUUCACAUUAACCUUCCAGUCGUCGCGCAGUUUGCCACCGUCAGAACCACCACGCUGCAGUUGUGAACGAAAAGCGAUGUUUUUUCAACACUGUUGUACAAAAUACAACAGCGCGACGACUGAAGUGUUAAUAUGUCACGUUUGGGUGAACUGCAUUGAUUUUGUUUGAAAUUAUGCGUUUUUGGAACGUCCGUGAUAUGAUUCUUUCAUUGUGAUUUCAUACUUAUUCAUCUGCUACAUAUGUCUAAAAAUUCUGCAAUGAUUUUCAGAAAAUGUGAAUAAUAAAUGCUUGACGUUUUUAGGUACGCUAUUAAUUUAAUCCAAAACUCUUAAAAUAUAUAUGAAAAUUCAGAAUGGGUUCAACUGUUUUUUAAUACAGUAUAUCAAAAACGUUUUUUUUUAGAUUUUUUUUUUCGGAUUUUCUGAAGGUUUAAAUCUGACGCAUCUCUAAUAAUGUUUCAAAUCUAUUUUUGAAUAGACUGUUGUUCGUCUUCAAAAUCGUUGGAAUCUGAUUUUUGCCUGCUAAAUUUUUCAAAAUUUGAUUUAUACAAUAAGAAAUGAUAAUAAUGAGUGCAACCGAAACUUAGAAAUGGGUACUUCCUUAUCUCAAAAACAAAAACCUCAUAUCAAAUAUUGGGCGUUGCAAAAAUUUCUAAAUAUUCUCAGAUGCAUGUCCAAAUCCACUGACUAACACGCAGAGAAAACAGACCUUUUUGUUUCAAAAAUAAAUAUUAUUGAAAUAUUUUUAAAAACUACAAUUGUUUUUGUUGAAUACAAAUAUUAAAUUUUAUUGUUCCAAAAAAUUUAAUUGUUGUUUUUACACCAAACUGAUUGGAACACAAGUACCUUAGAUUCAAUAAAAUAUUUUAUUGGCUAUUGACAUAAUCUGUUUUGCUUUCAAAAAAAGUUUUUUUGUUUCAAAAAAUCCUAAUAUUGAUACACAUACAUAUGCAUUAUAUGAGAGUGUAUGAGUAUGUUUUUUUUUGCUAGUAUGUACGCACGGCCAGACGCCAUUUCCAUGAUUUGAAACAAAGCUAAAAUGGAUUCAACAGAAGAAGUACUGGCUAUGAAUGUUGAGGAAGUUAUUGACGCGCUGGUGGAUUUAUUGCUGAGUUUUGGACUCUCUGAAGAAUUUAUCAAUCGUACCCUGGAAAAUCAAUAUACCCUUGAAACCAUGCAAAUCCUGGAACGGAAGGAAAUUCAAGAAUUGAUGCAUGGAUUGUCCAGGUAUCUCCACCAUUAUCCACAGAUUGCCUUUCGACCGCAUCACCGGUGGUAAGAGAAAGUAAUUCCGAAGCCAUCACUCGUGAACGGUGCAUGGUUAUUUACGUGCUGACCGCGUCAACAAAAUGCCGAGUUAUUUGCAGAAAUGGCAAAUGCAAUUUUUUAACCAGGAGCUUAUAAGAAGGCAAUAACUCAUCUAAUGAUUAUUUGUAAAUGAGAUGUAAAUAAAAUCUAAAUUGAGAGAAAA
RNAcentral lists this long non-coding RNA (1743 nucleotides) under Aedes aegypti (yellow fever mosquito). RNAcentral describes it as "lncRNA AAEL024302". Lineage: Eukaryota; Metazoa; Arthropoda; Insecta; Diptera; Culicidae. The record is from RNAcentral.